GUGUUUGCUUCAGCAGCACACAUACUAAAAUUGGAAUGAUACGGAGAAGAUUUGCAAGGCCCUGGAACUAAGAUGACCUGAAAAUUUGUGAAACAAGCAUUU
Molecule: small nuclear RNA, 102 nt
Organism: Equus asinus (donkey)
Lineage: Eukaryota; Metazoa; Chordata; Mammalia; Perissodactyla; Equidae
Source: Ensembl